This 253-nucleotide ribosomal RNA is filed under the name uncultured bacterium. RNAcentral's name for it is "partial 16S ribosomal RNA". It matches the Rfam family "Bacterial small subunit ribosomal RNA", at positions 524 to 776 of the family's 1533-position model. The record is from RNAcentral.
UACGUAGGGGGCGAGCGUUGUCCGGAAUCAUUGGGCGUAAAGCGCGCGCAGGCGGCUCGGAGAGCCCGGCGUGAAAGCCCCCGGCUCAACCGGGGGAGGCCGUCGGGGACCUUCGGGCUGGAGGCCGGCAGGGGGGAGCGGAAUUCCCGGUGUAGUGGUGGAAUGCGUAGAGAUCGGGAGGAACACCGGUGGCGAAGGCGGCUCCCUGGGCCGGUCCUGACGCUCAGGCGCGAAAGCGUGGGGAGCGAUCCGG